CAGUCUCGAACAAGGAAAAUCAAUCAUAGUGGAGUAAUUAUUAUCCUAAAAUACAGUAGUAAUCUAAUAAAUUAUCUUAUAAAAGUUACCGAGGGAGUAAAUUUUUUAUUUUUUAUUUAGCAUUCAAAAACUGGAGUUUAUUGGCAAGUUGCGGACGGCUCUCCUUACGAGCUUAUUUAUCACAUCAUCACAUGCCGCUUCACGUCAUGAAGCGAUUUCCCCAGCACCGCAGGUGUACUCACACAGACAGUAAUAGGCAGGUUCCCAGUCAUCACCGAACGGGUGACAAUCCCCGCCUAAGAAGCCCUCAUGCUUGCAGUGACUAUGGCAAGGCAGGGGCGGAGCCAGCAUGUUAGCGUUGGGUUCAAAUGAACCCAACGACUUUUCUUGGUCUAGUAUACGUACACAGAUACGUACUCCUCUGAACCCAACGAAAAACAAGGGAUGGACCCAUCAAGUUCCAACACCAAGUGAGCAGCCUAAUAAAAAAGCCCAAAAGUAGUAAAUUGCCUCUCUAGUCCAUGCUAAUUAAAUACCCGUAUACUUUAAUAGUUAGUACUAAUUAAAUACCCGUGCAUUGUUAUGAAAUAACAAAUGAUAAUAUUUUGGCUUUGCACUCUGAAAUAACACAAGUGAUAUUAUGUUUCUCUCUUUAAUGUAUUUUUAGUGCUAUAUUUUUUGUUCUUCCUUGAAGGGGACUACUAUAUAUUUGAUGUAAGGUGGUGUGAAAUUGGACUUUACAUUGAAUUAAUUAGACCAAAUCCUCUCUUUAAUGAACCCAUCAACUAAAUUUUCUGGCUCCGCCCCUGUGGCAAGGUAAAGGCACACAAAAAGGGUGGGAGUAGGUCUUGCUGAACGUUGUGCAAGUCCCACCUUCACCUUCACCUUCAGACCCUGAAACAAAUUAUGGACAUGAUUUUGGGUAACUACUUCAUCAGAAGACAACACACCGAGAAGGAACUACUACACUAAUUCUUCAGAUGAUUAUUAUUUCAGGCAAGGCUUAUUACCUGCAGGAAGCAACAGGAAUGCCAUGAGCAACAACAAGCACAAGCCCGACCUCUUGACCUUAUGGACGUCCAUGUCUCUCGAACAAGCAACCAAGAAAGGAAGGAACGGAUUAAAGUAUGUUAACUUACUAGUGUCGUCGGUCCCUUCUUAUAGGCAAUGGAUGAUAGAACCUUACAAUAA
Molecule: long non-coding RNA, 1191 nt
Filed under: Triticum aestivum (bread wheat)
Lineage: Eukaryota; Viridiplantae; Streptophyta; Magnoliopsida; Poales; Poaceae
Description: long non-coding RNA (TAES_LNC023170)
Source: RNAcentral